CAUAAUGUGUUUCAUAAUGCUGCUGACAACAUGUAUGCAGUAUAUCUGACAGUGUGUGUGGAUGCUGACACUGCAGGUAUUAUUCAAUACCACUGGGUCCUGACACUGCAGGUAUUAUUCAAUACCACUGGGUCCUGACACUGCAGGUAUUAUUCAAUACCACUGGGUCCUGACACUGCAGGUAUUAUUCAAUACCACUGGGUCCUGACACUGCAGGUAUUAUUCAAUACCACUGGGUCCUGACACUGCAGGUAUUAUUCAAUACCACUGGGUCCUGACACUGCAGGUAUUAUUCAAUACCACUGGGUCCUGACACUGCAGGUAUUAUUCAAUACCACUGGGUCCUGACACUGCAGGUAUUAUUCAAUACCACUGGG
Procambarus clarkii (red swamp crayfish) is the source of this 377-nucleotide non-coding RNA. Lineage: Eukaryota; Metazoa; Arthropoda; Malacostraca; Decapoda; Cambaridae. The record is from RefSeq and is a predicted model, not a curated record.